RNAcentral lists this ribosomal RNA (301 nucleotides) under uncultured bacterium. RNAcentral describes it as "partial 16S ribosomal RNA". It matches the Rfam family "Bacterial small subunit ribosomal RNA", at positions 509 to 809 of the family's 1533-position model. The record is from RNAcentral.
CAGUCGCCGCGGGAAUACAGAGGGUGCGAGCGUUAAUCGGAUUUACUGGGCGUAAAGCGUGCGUAGGCGGCUUCUUAAGUCGGAUGUGAAAUCCCUGAGCUUAACUUAGGAAUUGCAUUCGAUACUGGGAAGCUAGAGUAUGGGAGAGGAUGGUAGAAUUCCAGGUGUAGCGGUGAAAUGCGUAGAGAUCUGGAGGAAUACCGAUGGCGAAGGCAGCCAUCUGGCCUAAUACUGACGCUGAGGUACGAAAGCAUGGGGAGCAAACAGGAUUAGAUACCCGAGUAGUCCCUGUCUCUUAUAU